AGAGUUUGAUCCUGGCUCAGGACGAACGCUGGCGGCGUGCCUAAUACAUGCAAGUCGAGCGCGGGAAGCAAGCUGAUCCUCUUCGGAGGUGACGCUUGUGGAACGAGCGGCGGACGGGUGAGUAACACGUGGGCAACCUGCCUGUAAGACUGGGAUAACCCCGGGAAACCGGGGCUAAUACCGGAUAAUACUUUUCAUCACCUGAUGGAAAGUUGAAAGGUGGCUUUUAGCUACCACUUACAGAUGGGCCCGCGGCGCAUUAGCUAGUUGGUGAGGUAACGGCUCACCAAGGCAACGAUGCGUAGCCGACCUGAGAGGGUGAUCGGCCACACUGGGACUGAGACACGGCCCAGACUCCUACGGGAGGCAGCAGUAGGGAAUCUUCCGCAAUGGACGAAAGUCUGACGGAGCAACGCCGCGUGAGUGAUGAAGGUUUUCGGAUCGUAAAGCUCUGUUGUUAGGGAAGAACAAGUGCCGUUCGAAUAGGGCGGCACCUUGACGGUACCUAACCAGAAAGCCCCGGCUAACUACGUGCCAGCAGCCGCGGUAAUACGUAGGGGGCAAGCGUUGUCCGGAAUUAUUGGGCGUAAAGCGCGCGCAGGCGGUCCUUUAAGUCUGAUGUGAAAGCCCACGGCUCAACCGUGGAGGGUCAUUGGAAACUGGAGGACUUGAGUACAGAAGAGGAGAGUGGAAUUCCACGUGUAGCGGUGAAAUGCGUAGAGAUGUGGAGGAACACCAGUGGCGAAGGCGACUCUCUGGUCUGUAACUGACGCUGAGGCGCGAAAGCGUGGGGAGCGAACAGGAUUAGAUACCCUGGUAGUCCACGCCGUAAACGAUGAGUGCUAGGUGUUUAGGGGGUUUCCGCCCCUUAGUGCUGAAGUUAACGCAUUAAGCACUCCGCCUGGGGAGUACGGCCGCAAGGCUGAAACUCAAAAGAAUUGACGGGGGCCCGCACAAGCGGUGGAGCAUGUGGUUUAAUUCGACGCAACGCGAAGAACCUUACCAGGUCUUGACAUCCUCUGCAAUCGGUAGAGAUACCGAGUUCCCUUCGGGGACAGAGUGACAGGUGGUGCAUGGUUGUCGUCAGCUCGUGUCGUGAGAUGUUGGGUUAAGUCCCGCAACGAGCGCAACCCUUGAUCUUAGUUGCCAGCAUUUAGUUGGGCACUCUAAGGUGACUGCCGGUGACAAACCGGAGGAAGGUGGGGAUGACGUCAAAUCAUCAUGCCCCUUAUGACCUGGGCUACACACGUGCUACAAUGGAUGGAACAAAGGGAAGCAAAACCGCGAGGUCAAGCAAAUCCCAUAAAACCAUUCUCAGUUCGGAUUGCAGGCUGCAACUCGCCUGCAUGAAGCCGGAAUCGCUAGUAAUCGCGGAUCAGCAUGCCGCGGUGAAUACGUUCCCGGGCCUUGUACACACCGCCCGUCACACCACGAGAGUUGGUAACACCCGAAGUCGGUGAGGUAACCUUUUGGAGCCAGCCGCCGAAGGUGGGACCAAUGAUUGGGGUGAAGUCGUAACAAGGUAACC
Molecule: ribosomal RNA, 1528 nt
Filed under: Virgibacillus sp.
Lineage: Bacteria; Bacillati; Bacillota; Bacilli; Caryophanales; Bacillaceae
Description: bacterial SSU rRNA
Rfam family: Bacterial small subunit ribosomal RNA
Source: RNAcentral